This 208-nucleotide ribosomal RNA is filed under the name uncultured bacterium. RNAcentral's name for it is "partial 16S ribosomal RNA". It matches the Rfam family "Bacterial small subunit ribosomal RNA", at positions 568 to 774 of the family's 1533-position model. The record is from RNAcentral.
CGCGUAGGCGGUCCGCUAAGUUGGAUGUGAAAACUCUGGGCUUAACCCAGAGCCUGCAUUCAAAACUGACGGGCUAGAGUUCUGGAGGGGGUAGCGGAAUUCCUGGUGUAGCGGUGAAAUGCGUAGAUAUCAGGAGGAACACCGGUGGCGAAGGCGGCUACCUGGACAGAAACUGACGCUGAGGCGCGAAAGCUAGGGGAAGCAAACA